GAGAGAACCAAACAACUGACGUUGCAGCACCGUGGCAACGCAGGCCCUAACGACAGGGAGGCGGUCGUUAUGCAGAUGAGGUCCAGCUGAGAGCGCGGGAGGCCGCCUGGCUCGUUAGGCCGCGGCCCGGCAAAUGGCUCGCUAAUGUAACACUGCUUCCUGGUCUAAUGGAGCCCUGUUUUGCAGAAUUAUUUGUCUUUGCACGCCACGGGGAGCCAGGGGGGCCACCAACAGCGAGGAGGAGAGAGAGGUGAAGUCACUUCUGUCUCUCUGGCCCCCAACACCACACCGGGGGAAUGUCCCAGCAGACUGUGACCUGACGACAAGCGAUCAUCAUGUGCAUCUGGAAUAAAAAUACAGAAAUGACCAACAUA
Long non-coding RNA from Labrus mixtus (cuckoo wrasse), 374 nucleotides. RefSeq lists it as uncharacterized. The transcript is spliced from 2 exons. Lineage: Eukaryota; Metazoa; Chordata; Actinopteri; Labriformes; Labridae. The record is from RefSeq and is a predicted model, not a curated record.